UCCUACGGGAGGCAGCAGUAGGGAAUCUUCGGCAAUGGACGAAAGUCUGACCGAGCAACGCCGCGUGAGUGAAGAAGGUUUUCGGAUCGUAAAACUCUGUUGUUAGAGAAGAACAAGGACGUUAGUAACUGAACGUCCCCUGACGGUAUCUAACCAGAAGUAGAUUC
This 167-nucleotide ribosomal RNA is filed under the name Enterococcus hirae. Its description in RNAcentral is "partial 16S ribosomal RNA". It matches the Rfam family "Bacterial small subunit ribosomal RNA", at positions 337 to 497 of the family's 1533-position model. Lineage: Bacteria; Bacillati; Bacillota; Bacilli; Lactobacillales; Enterococcaceae. The record is from RNAcentral.